This 496-nucleotide ribosomal RNA is filed under the name uncultured bacterium. RNAcentral describes it as "partial 16S ribosomal RNA". It matches the Rfam family "Bacterial small subunit ribosomal RNA", at positions 28 to 506 of the family's 1533-position model. The record is from RNAcentral.
GAUGAACGCUGGCGGCGUGCCCAAUACAUGCAAGUCGAGCGAACAGACGAGGAGCUUGCUCCUCUGACGUUAGCGGCGGACGGGUGAGUAACACGUGGAUAACCUACCUAUAAGACUGGGAUAACUUCGGGAAACCGGAGCUAAUACCGGAUAAUAUAUUGAACCGCAUGGUUCAAUAGUGAAAGACGGUUUUGCUGUCACUUAUAGAUGGAUCCGCGCCGCAUUAGCUAGUUGGUAAGGUAACGGCUUACCAAGGCAACGAUGCGUAGCCGACCUGAGAGGGUGAUCGGCCACACUGGAACUGAGACACGGUCCAGACUCCUACGGGAGGCAGCAGUAGGGAAUCUUCCGCAAUGGGCGAAAGCCUGACGGAGCAACGCCGCGUGAGUGAUGAAGGUCUGCGGAUCGUAAAACUCUGUUAUUAGGGAAGAACAAAUGUGUAAGUAACUAUGCACGUCUUGACGGUACCUAAUCAGAAAGCCACGGCUAACUACGU